Molecule: ribosomal RNA, 424 nt
Filed under: uncultured bacterium
Lineage: Bacteria
Description: bacterial SSU rRNA
Rfam family: Bacterial small subunit ribosomal RNA
Source: RNAcentral
UGAGGAAUAUUGGUCAAUGGACGCAAGUCUGAACCAGCCAUGCCGCGUGGAGGAUGAAGGCCUUCUGGGUUGUAAACUUCUUUUAUUAGGGAAGAAAAGCACGGUUUCUACUGUGUCCGACGGUACCUAAGGAAUAAGCACCGGCUAACUCCGUGCCAGCAGCCGCGGUAAUACGGAGGGUGCAAGCGUUAUCCGGAUUCACUGGGUUUAAAGGGUGUGUAGGCGGGCUGUUAAGUCAGUGGUGAAAUCUCCGGGCUCAACCCGGAAACUGCCAUUGAUACUAUCAGUCUUGAAUCUUGUUGAGGUAGGCGGAAUAUAUCAUGUAGCGGUGAAAUGCUUAGAUAUGAUAUAGAACACCGAUUGCGAAGGCAGCUUACUAAACAAGCAUUGACGCUGAGGCACGAAAGCGUGGGGAUCAAACAGG